UAUAAUAUAGGGCACUUGCAGAGUGAUUUUGAUUCUUUGUUCAACAACUGAAGAUAUCUUCGCCGUCGUUAAUGGUUUUCGAUGUGCAAACUCCUCUCUUCUCUACUAUUUUGAUCUUUUGGAAUUAGGAUUUUCGAAAACCGCUUUUCAGUUUGACUGCCACCAAAUUUUAUCUGACUCUUUAAAAAAACACUUGUAGAUCGUCGAUCAUUGAAGUGUUGUUUUUUCUUGUGAUUCUGUUCUCCUUCUUGUUUUAAUUCCUCUAUUCAUAAUAGCAAGAUUUCUGGGGGUUGCAUUUCAAUUUUUUCAGUUGAUCUCUAUUUUGUUGUUCAUCUAUUGGACUGAAUUCUGGGGGGUUUUCCAUACUCUAUGCCGGGCAGAAAUCCAUCAGUUGAAAAAGAAUUCCUAUCUAUUCUUCUCUUUUGAUUUUUUGUUUUAAUAACGAAAACAAUAUUCUUGACUGUUAAAGUGUCAAUAAAACGAUAAUCUUGUCUAUUGACGUUUCUUCAAGUGUGUCGUCACCAAAUUCGCAUUUUUCUGCCACUGGUGACGGUGACAGUCCAGCCCGCCUAUAUUUUUCUUGGAUAUGUGGGUGUUUAUGUGUAUUGCAGGUAUCACUUUUGUGGCUGUUUAGUGGCAGUAGGGAGGUGCACACGCACAAGAAGUAGAGCAGCAACUAUACGCCGGGUUCCGCAGUAUCGGGAGUAUACCAAGUGGAAAGAUUCAGGUUCUAUGCGCGGGAAUUGCUCUAGGAGGAUUUUACUGGAUCGUUGUUGUUGGUCAAAAGUGUUGUGGACAAUAUGGACUAGACAAAUCAAGCACUGGUGGAUGGGUAAUAUUCGCAGGUAAGUCAUAGCAAGCCUUGAGCUAAGAUACAUGAAAAGUAGGGUGUAAGAGUAACUAAGAGGGUAGUGCCAACUUAUAUGCAACAUUUUCAUUUUUUUUCCAGAAUUUGAUAAGGGCCAUAGUAUCUUGUAGAAAACUUAGAGAAAUGGCUGCUUGACAUUGUGAGUUAUCUGUAAGGUUGGAUCCUUAGAUAAACCCAAUCCCUUUCAUUGAAUUGCCUAUCCGUCCUGUGUUUAUUAGCUUGCUCUGUCAUUCUCUGUUGUGCUCUUUGCAAAUGAUACUUAAGCAACUGCAACUUAAAUUCUCUGGUGAGCAGACUUCCAUCAACUUCUUCUAGUACAGAAUCCCCAGCAGUAAGGCAAAUGGAGGGGUAGUGGUUGACCAUACAAGAUUUCAUAAGGAGUAUACUGAAUGAAAGUGUAGAAUGCAGUAUUGUACAAAACUCAGCUGCAGCUAGAUAGGAAAACCAGUCUGACUAGAAUUAGAACAGAAGCACCUGAGAUAAGUUUCCAAACACCUAUUAACCACCUUUGUUUGACUAUCUGUCUGGGGAUGAUAGGCUAUGGAAGUGUUGAGUGUUACUCCCAUCAUAGAGAAAAGCUUCUUCUAAAUCUUUAUUGUGAAUAUGGGAUCUCUUUCACUUAUUAUAUCCUCAGGCAGACCAUGUAACUUGUAAACUUGUUCCAAGAAGAUUUUAGCAAGACCCCAUGAAGUGGGCAUAUUUAGUUAAACUAUCUACUACCACCCAAAUGACUGUCUUACCUUUUGGAUUUUGGUAGUCGUUCUAUAAAAUCCAUAUUGAUGUUGCUCCAAGCUGCUACUGGUAUCUUGUUGGGUUAUAGUAGUCCUGGAUAGGGUGCAUUGUCAUAUUUAUGCCUCUGGCAUACAUCACAAGAUUUGACAUAAGCUUGUAUAUUCUCCCUCAUCUUCUUCCAAUAAAACAAAGUUGUUAUCCUUCUGUAGGUAUGGUCAAUGACAGAAUGACCCCAACUGAUGAACCAUGCCAUAGUUGCAUAAUUUCCUUCCUCAAUUGAGCAUCAGGACCAACCACUAACCUCCCAUUCUUUCUUAGUUGUUCAUGAGUCAGUCUAUAUCCUUUAUUCUUAGCAUUUCCUUCCCUUAAGGAUUGAAUCAGACUUUUUAGAGUAGGAUCCUUAUCCCAACUUUGCAUAAUCAUAUCUAACAUAUCAGUUCUCACGAAAGAUAAGGUCAUGGUUUCUAGUUCAAGCAAGGGUAACCUAGAAAGAGCAUCAGUUGCCUUGUUCUGUUUGCCCUUUUUGUACUCAAUUAUGAAGUCAUGUUGCAUAAGUUUGGUGAUCCACUUCAAUGAGCCCCGGUGUAAAGCUUUGAUCAAGUAGGAAUUUGAGUACCUUUUGGUCUAUUUUAACAAUAAAGCUUCUACAGUCAGAUACUGAGACCACUUGUUUACAGCUAUCACAAGUGCCAAAAGUUCUUUAUCAUACACAGAUAAUGAUUGAUGUUUUGCGGAUAAUCCUUUGCUUAGGAAGGCAAUGAUAUUUCCUUGUUGCAUUAAAACUGCUCAUAUCCCUACAUUACAAGCAUCUAUUACCAUAAUGUUAGAGAAAAAUCUGGUAGACUCAACACUAGUAUAAUUGUUAGUGUUGUUUUAAGUGUCUAAAAGUCUUCAUUAGCCUUAUCAGACCACAUAAAGUCAUCUUUUUGAGGAGGUUAGUCAGUGGUUUGUUGAUAAUGCCAUAUCCUUUGAUGAAUCUUCUGUAAUACCUUGCUAACCCAAGAAAUCCUCUCAGCAACUUGAUAGAAGUAGGCAAUGGCCAAGACUGUUCUGCUUCUAUCUUCUUAAGGUCAGUGGAAACACCUUGUGCUGAGAUGUAAUGCCUUAAAUGUUGUCACGCCCCAAACAUAAAAAGCAUAACCGGUAUUUAACCGAGUGAACUCGGCUGAGCAAGCCUAUUAGAUUCCUUCUACCGAAACUCACUCAUGAACAGAGAGAGGACAUAUUUUCAUUAGUUAGAUAAUAGGGAGGUCAUGAAUACAAUGCUACAUCAUUUCAUUAGUUACUUUAUCUUAAAAUCUUAAAAUAUACAUAUUUGUUUCAUAGUUAGAAGUGGAAUAAAUAAUUCAAACACAACAAUAUUUCGUCUGGCUUCCCCAGCACCCAUAUACAAUCCACACUAUGUUCACGAAGCCUAUAAUAGAUACAAAAGAGUACAACAAAAGUGCUGGCAAUAAGACACCGAUUAUAUCUCAAGUACAAUACAUAAGGAACAAAAGAUGCAUAACCGCAAAAUGAAAUGGGGCUCACCAACACUGCUAGGAGGAGGAUGUACCGAUAUUACUAAUCAACGCUACCUGUUGUGGACCUGCCUGCAUCCAUUUAAAGAUGUACAACCCCGAUAAAAGGAACAUUAGUACCAUCGAAUAGUACUAGUAUGUAUUAAAAACCACCUCAAUAGAAUGAGCAAUAAUGCAAGUAAAAAUAAUCAUAAUAUCAGUUAAAGCAUUGAACAUUUACCAUACGUCAAACAAGGGAUAAGAUAAGUUUCCAAUUAAAUUUUUAUAUUUUAAGUCGGGGAAGUCUUUAGUACCAAUAUGCCACUAUUCACCAUUUUGAUUUCAAUUCCCAAUACAGUCACCACCAUGUGUACAACAUGGCGUCCGAUCACGAUCUGAUCGGCUAGGCCGUCUCAUAUGAGACAUCAACCAUAAUUACAAUUUCAGUUAUAGUUUUCUAAUAAAGUCACUACUAUGUGUACGACAUGUCGUCCGAUCACGACCCGAUUGGCUAGGCCAUCUCAUAAGAGACAUCAACCACAGUUGCAAUUUAUAUUACAAUUUCCAAUAGAGUCACUACCAUGUGUACGACAUAGCGUCCGAUCACGACCCGAUCGGCUAGGCCAUCUCAUAAGAGACAUCAACCACAGUUGCAAUUUAUAUUACAAUUUCCAAUAGAGUCACUACCAUGUGUACGACAUAGCGUCCGAUCACGACCCGAUCGGCUAGGCCAUCUCAUAAGAGACAUCAACCACGAUUGUAUUAUUUCACUUGGCACGUUGGUCGUAUUCCAUAUUUCACAUUUCAUAUUUCACUUUUAGUAUUUCUCGCUUUGUAUCGCAUAUUUCGUAUUUUGCAUUUCGACAAUCAUCAUAGAUUUCCAAUAACAAAGCAUUUCUUUUCAUAAUAUUUAAACACACAUGUGAGCAACUGGGAGUUUUUAUUACAUUGAGAUUUCUUACAGAAUUGUCAUUAGCUUUCGUUUUAGACACAAUUUCAUGUCAAGGCAUUUAAACAUGCAACCCAUACUUUGAACACAUUCUUCAAAUAAGAGUAUAACAUAACAAGAACAUUUAAAUUGCAUACUGAACAUGGAUAUCUUUUGGCACAACUUAUUCGGAAUGUUCAACUCACAUCGAGCAACUCGGGACUUACAUGGAUAUUGUGGGGUUCAAUUCUAAGA
Nicotiana tabacum (common tobacco) is the source of this 4282-nucleotide non-coding RNA. NCBI's taxonomy places the organism in Eukaryota, Viridiplantae, Streptophyta, Magnoliopsida, Solanales, Solanaceae. The record is from RefSeq and is a predicted model, not a curated record.